AUUGACUUGACGUGCCUUGGAGCACGAAAGGCAGCACGUUUUUCUGUAGAUAUUGUAAUUGCAGAGUCUAGCCUGAACCACAAGGGGACAAUUGAAGUUGGUGUCUUUGCACUCGGAGUUUUCGUCGAGGCCUGAAAUAUUGGGCUGUUCGUUGCACAAUCUUUUUACAAUCGGUCGAUCGGAUUCCACGCAAUCCCGCCCGUUCCCACCUAUACAUUUAACUUCUCUUUGCUGCACACCCUUGCCGCACGACCGAGUGCACUGAAAAAUGAAGAACGAAGAUUUAUCGAUGGAAGUUAAAAAUAGAAAAUAGAACGAGGGCUUUCGCGUCUAUUUUUUCAAUCGCUUACUUCGGACCAAUCCGAAGUGAACCAAGCAGCGGAACAAGGUGGUCCUCUGCAGUGUCUUUUGACUUCCGGUUUCUCCGCCGGACAAUUCAUUUCCAAUGCCAAACGAGGACUACCGUGAAUCUUCGCUAUGCAAACAACUUCUCUAGUCUGUUCGCCGAUCUCGCACGCAGACGAACACUGGAAAGAACGAUGAUUUUUUCCUUUGAAAAUUUAAUCGGUCAAAUACACGAGAGCCUAAUUACCCGAGUCCACGGACCGGCGAACCAAUGCCCGCUGCAACUUGCAUCUGCGGUACAUUCCCUGCUUAUUUUCGGUUUACUCGACUCGUCGCACGUAUCGCUUGGGGAUGAACCACAAGCUACUCUUCGCCAUUGAAUUCCCGUCCCGCAGUCCGCCGAGCACUAUUGACGACCUUGUCUUCGGUGAGCAGCGGCUACUUGUCCACAAACCAGUUCAAGUAUUAUUACAAUACGAAGCGGUCGGUCCCCACCGAUCUACGCAACGUACACGACCGCAAGGAAAAAGAAAAGGUACAGACGCGUGGGAAGGAUGAGAUACACGAAAGUGCAGUACGGUGUAAUCUCUGACGAAGAGAGAAGAAGAAAGAAAAAUCGCCCCCGGGGCCUCGUGGAAUGUUAUCUACUUUCUUUGAAGGACCGAUGCGGAUCGUUUGUCAUCUACUCGAUUA
Athalia rosae (coleseed sawfly) is the source of this 1038-nucleotide long non-coding RNA. RefSeq lists it as uncharacterized. The transcript has 4 exons. NCBI's taxonomy places the organism in Eukaryota, Metazoa, Arthropoda, Insecta, Hymenoptera, Athaliidae. The record is from RefSeq and is a predicted model, not a curated record.